GAUUGUGAUAGGUAUUUUUGUUCUUAUCAAUGUUAUCAGCUUAGCAACAUGCUAACAUACUGUAGGUUUGGAACAUCAUUCAUUACAACAGCUCACCAUGCGGAUAAAUCCCAUUAUGAGAGCGGAAAACCCUCAAUCCAUAUCCUCAGAGAGACUGACCCCGACACCAGAACUGGAGGACACACCCUGCUCUUUUCCACUGGGCGACACUUCUCUUGAACAGCGUCAGAGAGGCUCCAGUGUGCAAACCAACAGCAGCGACUGACAGACAUGUCUUCUGUUCUGUGGCUUUGAUGAGGUUAUCUCAGAACCUGACCGCAUUUUCCCGACUCUCAGCUCUGACAUAUGACAGACAAUAAGACGUCCUGUGAGGAACAAGAGUCUGGUAAACGAUGGUAAACGACUCGUUCGUUUCUCAAAGCGUUGAUUAAAAAUCCUGCUAACUGAUCUAAACAGAUCUUGAAAAUGUUUAAAUCUUAUUUUUUUUUAAAAAAGGUUUAAUACAGCAUUUUAAAAGUUACUGAAUUAGUCUACUGU
Cyprinus carpio (common carp) is the source of this 537-nucleotide long non-coding RNA. RefSeq lists it as uncharacterized. The record is from RefSeq and is a predicted model, not a curated record. The transcript is spliced from 3 exons. Lineage: Eukaryota; Metazoa; Chordata; Actinopteri; Cypriniformes; Cyprinidae.